Molecule: ribosomal RNA, 492 nt
Filed under: uncultured bacterium
Lineage: Bacteria
Description: partial 16S ribosomal RNA
Rfam family: Bacterial small subunit ribosomal RNA
Source: RNAcentral
AGUGAACGCUGGCGGUAGGCCUAACACAUGCCAGUCGAACGGCAGCACAGUAAGAGCUUGCUCUUACGGGUGGCGAGUGGCGGACGGGUGAGGAAUACAUCGGAAUCUACUUUUUCGUGGGGGAUAACGUAGGGAAACUUACGCUAAUACCGCAUACGACCUACGGGUGAAAGCAGGGGAUCUUCGGACCUUGCGCGAUUGAAUGAGCCGAUGUCGGAUUAGCUAGUUGGCGGGGUAAAGGCCCACCAAGGCGACGAUCCGUAGCUGGUCUGAGAGGAUGAUCAGCCACACUGGAACUGAGACACGGUCCAGACUCCUACGGGAGGCAGCAGUGGGGAAUAUUGGACAAUGGGCGCAAGCCUGAUCCAGCCAUACCGCGUGAGUGAAGAAGGCCUUCGGGUUGUAAAGCCCUUUUGUUGGGAAAGAAAAGCAGCAUGUGAAUACCCCGCUGUUCUGACGGUACCCAAAGAAUAAGCACCGGCUAACUUCGUG